This 468-nucleotide ribosomal RNA is filed under the name uncultured bacterium. Its description in RNAcentral is "partial 16S ribosomal RNA". The stretch from base 20 to 332 matches the Rfam family "Bacterial small subunit ribosomal RNA", at positions 47 to 358 of the family's 1533-position model. The record is from RNAcentral.
GACGAACGCUGGCGGCGUGCUUAACACAUGCAAGUCGAACGGAAAGGCCCUGCUUUUGUGGGGUGCUCGAGUGGCGAACGGGUGAGUAACACGUGAGUAACCUGCCCUUGACUUUGGGAUAACUUCAGGAAACUGGGGCUAAUACCGGAUAGGAGCUCCUGCUGCAUGGUGGGGGUUGGAAAGUUUCGGCGGUUGGGGAUGGACUCGCGGCUUAUCAGCUUGUUGGUGGGGUAGUGGCUUACCAAGGCUUUGACGGGUAGCCGGCCUGAGAGGGUGACCGGCAGCAUUGGGAAUGAGGGAAGGAGGAGAGGGAGAGGGGAGGAAGAAGGGGGGAAGGGGGCAGAAUGGGCGGGAGGAGGAGGCAGCAAUGACGGGUGGGGGAGGAGGGGGGGGGGGGUGGAAAAAGAGGGGGACGGUGACGAAGAGUGAGGGAGGGGAAGGGGUAAGGAAGCGAAGGGUAAAGACGGG